Molecule: ribosomal RNA, 409 nt
Filed under: uncultured Phenylobacterium sp.
Lineage: Bacteria; Pseudomonadati; Pseudomonadota; Alphaproteobacteria; Caulobacterales; Caulobacteraceae
Description: bacterial SSU rRNA
Rfam family: Bacterial small subunit ribosomal RNA
Source: RNAcentral
UAGGGAAUCUUGCGCAAUGGGCGAAAGCCUGACGCAGCCAUGCCGCGUGAAUGAUGAAGGUCUUAGGAUUGUAAAAUUCUUUCACCGGGGAAGAUAAUGACGGUACCCGGAGAAGAAGCCCCGGCUGAACUUCAGUUGCCAGCCAGCCGCGGGUAAUACGAAGGGGCGUAGCGUUGCUCGGAAUUACUGGGCGUAAAGGGCGCGUAGGCGGAUAGUUUAGUCAGAGGUGAAAGCCCAGGGCUCAACCUUGGAACUGCCUUUGAUACUGGCUAUCUUGAGUUCGGGAGAGGUGAGUGGAAUGCCGAGUGUAGAGGUGAAAUUCGUAGAUAUUCGGCGGAACACCAGUGGCGAAGGCGACUCACUGGCCCGAUUACUGACGCUGAGGCGCGAAAGCGUGGGGAGCAAAACA